CAAUACUUAGUGGCGAACGGGUGAGUAUAAUGUGGGUAUCUGCCUUUUGGUUUGGAAUAACACGAGGAAACUUGUGCUAAUACCGGAUAAGCCUUUACAGGGAAAGUUUUAACGCCAAAAGAUGAGCCCGCACUUGAUUAGCUAGUUGGUAAGGUAAAAGCUUACCAAGGCUACGAUCAAUAGCUGAUCUGAGAGGAUGAUCAGCCACAUUGGGACUGAGACACGGCCCAAACUCCUACGGGAGGCAGCAGUGGGGAAUCUUGCACAAUGGGGGAAACCCUGAUGCAGCGAUGCCGCGUGAGUGAAGAAGGCCCUUGGGUUGUAAAGCUCUUUCGUCGGGGAAGAAAAUGACUGUACCCGAAUAAGAAGGUCCGGCUAACUUCGUGCCAGCAGCCGCGGUAAUACGAAGGGACCUAGCGUAGUUCGGAAUUACUGGGCUUAAAGAGCUCGUAGGUGGUUAGAAAAGUUGGUGGUGAAAGCCCAAGGCUUAACCUUGGAACUGCCAUCAAAACUUUUUAACUAGAGUAUGAUAGAGGUAAGCGGAAUUUCUAGUGUAGAGGUGAAAUUCGUAGAUAUUAAAAAGAACACCAAUUGCGAAGGCAGCUUUCUGGAUCAUUACUGACACUGAGGAGCGAAAGCAUGGGUAGCGAAGAGGAUUAGAUACCCUCGUAGUCCAUGCCGUAAACGAUGUGUGCUAGACGUUGGAAAUUUAGUUUUCAGUGUCGCAGCAAAAGCGUUAAGCACACCGCCUGGGGAGUACGACCGCAAGGUUAAAACUCAAAUGAAUUGACGGGGACCCGCACAAGUA
RNAcentral lists this ribosomal RNA (808 nucleotides) under uncultured marine bacterium. RNAcentral describes it as "bacterial SSU rRNA". It matches the Rfam family "Bacterial small subunit ribosomal RNA", at positions 86 to 931 of the family's 1533-position model. The record is from RNAcentral.